RNAcentral lists this ribosomal RNA (351 nucleotides) under uncultured bacterium. RNAcentral's name for it is "bacterial SSU rRNA". It matches the Rfam family "Bacterial small subunit ribosomal RNA", at positions 74 to 425 of the family's 1533-position model. The record is from RNAcentral.
GUUUCUUCGGAAAUGGAUUAGCGGCGAACGGGUGAGGAACACGUGAAGAAUCUGCCCUCCACUUUGGGAUAACACAGGGUAAACCUGUGCUAAUACCGAAUAUUGAAACAUAAGUGGCAUCACUGAGUUUUGAAAGAAUUUCGGUGGAGGAUGACUUCGCGGCCUAUCAGCUAGUUGGUGAGGUAAUGGCUCACCAAGGCAACGACGGGUAGCCGGCCUGAGAGGGCGACCGGCCACACUGGGACUGAGACACGGCCCAGACUCCUACGGGAGGCAGCAGUGGGGAAUAUUGGGCAAUGGAGGAAACUCUGACCCAGCGACGCCGCGUGCGGGAUGAAGGCCUUCGGGUUG